UAUUAAAAAUUUCAUCCAUUUGUAUUAAUAAAAACUAGCGUGAUUGAUAGAAUAACUAAACAGUUAUACAUGGCAUGUCACGUGUAUUUCAUGCUAAUGUAUAGAGACCAAUUUUUAACCAUAGGAAUUGAUAAAAAAUUUAACA
Non-coding RNA from Gossypium arboreum, 145 nucleotides. Lineage: Eukaryota; Viridiplantae; Streptophyta; Magnoliopsida; Malvales; Malvaceae. The record is from Rfam.